UACGAAGGGUGCAGGCGUUACUCGGAAUUACUGGGCGUAAAGCGUGCGUAGGUGGUUUGUUAAGUCUGUUGUGAAAGCCCCGGGCUCAACCUGGGAAUGGCAAUGGAUACUGGCAGGCUAGAGUGCGGUAGAGGGUAGUGGAAUUCCCGGUGUAGCGGUGAAAUGCGUAGAGAUCGGGAGGAACACCAGUGGCGAAGGCGGCUACCUGGACCAGCCACUGGACACUGAGGCACGAAAGCGUGGGGAGCAAACAGGG
Molecule: ribosomal RNA, 256 nt
Filed under: uncultured bacterium
Lineage: Bacteria
Description: partial 16S ribosomal RNA
Rfam family: Bacterial small subunit ribosomal RNA
Source: RNAcentral